Molecule: ribosomal RNA, 790 nt
Filed under: uncultured bacterium
Lineage: Bacteria
Description: bacterial SSU rRNA
Rfam family: Bacterial small subunit ribosomal RNA
Source: RNAcentral
GGAAACGACAUCGAAAGCUUGCUUUUGAUGGGCGUCGACCGGCGCACGGGUGAGUAACGCGUAUCCAACCUGCCCACCACUUGGGGAUAACCUUGCGAAAGUAAGACUAAUACCCAAUGAUAUCUCUAGAAGACAUCUGAAAGGGAUUAAAGAUUUAUCGGUGAUGGAUGGGGAUGCGUCUGAUUAGCUUGUUGGCGGGGUAACGGCCCACCAAGGCGACGAUCAGUAGGGGUUCUGAGAGGAAGGUCCCCCACAUUGGAACUGAGACACGGUCCAAACUCCUACGGGAGGCAGCAGUGAGGAAUAUUGGUCAAUGGGCGAGAGCCUGAACCAGCCAAGUAGCGUGCAGGAUGACGGCCCUAUGGGUUGUAAACUGCUUUUAUAAGGGAAUAAAGUGAGCCUCGUGAGGCUUUUUGCAUGUACCUUAUGAAUAAGGACCGGCUAAUUCCGUGCCAGCAGCCGCGGUAAUACGGAAGGUCCGGGCGUUAUCCGGAUUUAUUGGGUUUAAAGGGAGCGUAGGCCGGAGAUUAAGCGUGUUGUGAAAUGUAGACGCUCAACGUCUGCACUGCAGCGCGAACUGGUUUCCUUGAGUACGCACAAAGUGGGCGGAAUUCGUGGUGUAGCGGUGAAAUGCUUAGAUAUCACGAAGAACUCCGAUUGCGAAGGCAGCUCACUGGAGCGCAACUGACGCUGAAGCUCGAAAGUGCGGGUAUCGAACAGGAUUAGAUACCCUGGUAGUCCGCACGGUAAACGAUGGAUGCCCGCUGUUGGUCUGAAUAGGUCAGCGGCC